This 445-nucleotide ribosomal RNA is filed under the name uncultured bacterium. Its description in RNAcentral is "partial 16S ribosomal RNA". It matches the Rfam family "Bacterial small subunit ribosomal RNA", at positions 354 to 796 of the family's 1533-position model. The record is from RNAcentral.
GUGAGGAAUAUUGGUCAAUGGGCGGAAGCCUGAACCAGCCAUCCCGCGUGAAGGAAGGCGGCCCUAUGGGUUGUAAACUUCUUUAGUACAUGAAGAACAGGAUCUACGCGUAGGUUUAUGACGGUAAUGUACAAAAAAGCAUCGGCUAACUCCGUGCCAGCAGCCGCGGUAAUACGGAGGAUGCGAGCGUUAUCCGGCUUCAUGGGGUUUAAAGGGUACGUAGGUGGCCCUGUAAGUCAGUGGUGAAAAUCUGCCGCUUAACGGUAGGGGUGCCAAUGAUACUGCGGGGCUUGAGUACAGUUGAGGUAGGUGGAAUGUGUAGUGUAGCGGUGAAAUGCAUAGAUAUUACACAGAACUCCGAUUGCGAAGGCAUCUUACUAAGCUGAAACUGACACUGAUGUACGAAAGCGUGGGGAUCGAACAGGAUUAGAUACCCGUGUAGUCC